This 77-nucleotide transfer RNA is filed under the name Sphaerodactylus townsendi. Its description in RNAcentral is "tRNA-Ala". It matches the Rfam family "tRNA". Rfam says of the family: Transfer RNA (tRNA) molecules are approximately 80 nucleotides in length. Their secondary structure includes four short double-helical elements and three loops (D, anti-codon, and T loops). Further hydrogen bonds mediate the characteristic L-shaped molecular structure. tRNAs have two regions of fundamental functional importance: the anti-codon, which is responsible for specific mRNA codon recognition, and the 3' end, to which the tRNAs corresponding amino acid is attached (by aminoacyl-tRNA synthetases). tRNAs cope with the degeneracy of the genetic code in two manners: having more than one tRNA (with a specific anti-codon) for a particular amino acid; and 'wobble' base-pairing, i.e. permitting non-standard base-pairing at the 3rd anti-codon position. Lineage: Eukaryota; Metazoa; Chordata; Lepidosauria; Squamata; Sphaerodactylidae. The record is from RNAcentral.
GGAGAGAGGCUGUGACUCAGUGGAAGAGCUUCUGCUUGGCAUGCAGAAGAUGCCAGGUUCGAUCCCCGGCAACUCCA